RNAcentral lists this ribosomal RNA (313 nucleotides) under uncultured soil bacterium. RNAcentral's name for it is "bacterial SSU rRNA". It matches the Rfam family "Bacterial small subunit ribosomal RNA", at positions 26 to 366 of the family's 1533-position model. The record is from RNAcentral.
AGAACGAACGCUGGCGGCAUGCCUAACACAUGCAAGUCGAACGAGACCUUCGGGUCUAGUGGCGCACGGGUGCGUAACGCGUGGGAAUCUGCCCUUGGGUUCGGAAUAACAGCGAGAAAUUGCUGCUAAUACCGGAUGAUGACGUAAGUCCAAAGAUUUAUCGCCUAAGGAUGAGCCCGCGUAGGAUUAGCUUGUUGGUGAGGUAAGAGCUCACCAAGGCGACGAUCCUUAGCUGGUCUGAGAGGAUGAUCAGCCACACUGGGACUGAGACACGGCCCAGACUCCUACGGGAGCAGCGAGGUGGGGAAUAGUU